Molecule: ribosomal RNA, 473 nt
Filed under: uncultured bacterium
Lineage: Bacteria
Description: bacterial SSU rRNA
Rfam family: Bacterial small subunit ribosomal RNA
Source: RNAcentral
UCGAGAAUCUUUCGCAAUGCCCGAAAGGGUGACGAAGCGACGCCGCGUGCGGGAGGAAGGCCUUCGGGUUGUAAACCGCUGUCGGGAGUUAAGAAAUGCAAGGAUGUUAAUAGCGUUCUUGCUUGACUAAGGCUCCGGAGGAAGCCACGGCUAACUCUGUGCCAGCAGCCGCGGUAAUACAGAGGCGGCAAGCGUUGUUCGGAAUUAUUGGGCGUAAAGGGUGCGCAGGCGGUCUUGCAAGUCAGAUGUGAAAGCCCCGGGCUUAACCUGGGAAUUGCGUUUGAAACUACAAGGCUAGAGUGCAGCAGAGGGGAGUGGAAUUCCAUGUGUAGCAGUGAAAUGCGUAGAGAUGUGGAAGAACACCGAUGGCGAAGGCAGCUCCCUGGGUUGACACUGACGCUCAUGCACGAAAGCGUGGGGAGCAAACAGGAUUAGAUACCCCCGUAGUCCCUGAGCGGGCUGGCAAGGCGCAU